RNAcentral lists this ribosomal RNA (267 nucleotides) under Triticum aestivum (bread wheat). RNAcentral describes it as "partial small subunit ribosomal RNA". Lineage: Eukaryota; Viridiplantae; Streptophyta; Magnoliopsida; Poales; Poaceae. The record is from RNAcentral.
AUGUCGGACGCGCCGGCGAGCCCGCCGGGCGGCGGCUUCGGCGGCGUUAGGGAGCGGGACAGGUUCCUGCCCAUCGCCAACAUCAGCAGCAUCAUGAAGAUGGCCAUCCUGGCCAACGGCAAGAUCACCAAGGACGACAAGGAGACCGUGCGGGAGUGCAUCUCGAAGUUCAUUGCUUCAUCGCCAGCGAGGCGAGCGACAAGUGCCAGAGGGAGAAGUGCAAGACCAUCAACAUCGACGACCUGCUCUGGGCGAUGGCCACGCUAG